AUAAUGAACCACUCUUGGGUCGAGUCUUUGCUAGCUUGCUGGUAUUGAUUCCCCUCGAGUAUUAACCACUGUGCACUGUAUUGUUUUUUGGGGGAUGUUAGUGUGAUGGGUGAAAGUUUUGCGAAAGCUCGACCGAAACCAGUCCUGCCCCCAGCAUUUUAAAACCAACCUAUUUAAUCAACCUGAAUUUUUUCGUAAUGAAAUAAAUA
Molecule: unclassified non-coding RNA, 209 nt
Filed under: uncultured Chytridiomycota
Lineage: Eukaryota; Fungi; Chytridiomycota
Description: sequence contains ITS1
Source: RNAcentral